GACGAACGCUGGCGGCGUGCUUAACACAUGCAAGUCGAGCGGAAAGGCCCUGCUUUUGUGGGGUGCUCGUUUGGCGCACGGGUGUGUAACACGUGAGUAACCUGCCCUUGACUUUGUGGUAACUUCAGGAAACUGGGGCUAUUACCGGAUAUGAUCUCCUGCUGCAUGUUGUGGGUUGGAAAGUUUCGGCGGUUUGGGAUGGACUCGCGGCUUAUCCGCUGCUUUGUGGGGUUGUGGCUUACCAAGGUUUUCACGGGUAGCCGGCAUGGGAGGGUGACCGGCCCCCAUGGGCCUGCGAUACGGCCCAGAAUGCUACUGGCGGCAGUAGUGGGGAACAUUGCACAAUGGGGGGACGUCUGAAGCAGAAACCUCGGGUGCGGGAAGACGGGCUUUGGGUUGAAAACAGCUUUCGAAUGUACAGAAGACUGAGUGACGGUAAUGGGUAAAGAAGCAACGGCUAACUACGUG
Molecule: ribosomal RNA, 468 nt
Filed under: uncultured bacterium
Lineage: Bacteria
Description: partial 16S ribosomal RNA
Rfam family: Bacterial small subunit ribosomal RNA
Source: RNAcentral